RNAcentral lists this unclassified non-coding RNA (327 nucleotides) under soil metagenome. Its description in RNAcentral is "partial contains 5.8S ribosomal RNA, internal transcribed spacer 2, and large subunit ribosomal RNA". The stretch from base 5 to 119 matches the Rfam family "5.8S ribosomal RNA", at positions 40 to 154 of the family's 154-position model. The record is from RNAcentral.
GAUGAGAACGUAGCGAAAUGCGAUAAGUAAUGUGAAUUGCAGAAUUCAGUGAAUCAUCGAAUCUUUGAACGCACAUUGCGCCCCCUGGUAUUCCGGGGGGCAUGCCUGUUCGAGCGUCAUUUCAACCCUCAAGCUCUGCUUGGUAUUGAGUCCAUGUCAGCAAUGGCAGGCUCCAAAAUCAGUGGCGGCGCCGCUGGGUCCUGAACGUAGUAAUAUCUCUCGUUACAGGUGCUCGGCGUGCUUCUGCCAAAACCCCAAUUUUUCUAUGGUUGACCUCGGAUCAGGUAGGGAUACCCGCUGAACUUAAGCAUAUCAAUAAGCGGAGGA